CCCUGGGUGAUAUAAGUGGUUAACAUGUUUGGCUGCUAACCAAAAGGUUAGUGGUUCUAGUCCACCCAGAGG
This 72-nucleotide transfer RNA is filed under the name Loxodonta africana (African savanna elephant). It matches the Rfam family "tRNA". Rfam says of the family: Transfer RNA (tRNA) molecules are approximately 80 nucleotides in length. Their secondary structure includes four short double-helical elements and three loops (D, anti-codon, and T loops). Further hydrogen bonds mediate the characteristic L-shaped molecular structure. tRNAs have two regions of fundamental functional importance: the anti-codon, which is responsible for specific mRNA codon recognition, and the 3' end, to which the tRNAs corresponding amino acid is attached (by aminoacyl-tRNA synthetases). tRNAs cope with the degeneracy of the genetic code in two manners: having more than one tRNA (with a specific anti-codon) for a particular amino acid; and 'wobble' base-pairing, i.e. permitting non-standard base-pairing at the 3rd anti-codon position. Lineage: Eukaryota; Metazoa; Chordata; Mammalia; Proboscidea; Elephantidae. The record is from Rfam by way of RNAcentral.